GUUUAUCCCCCAUGAUGACAGAGUCAAGAAGUGAUAUAAACACAAAUGUCCAGUCUGUUGUGACCUCUGACUGUUGCUUAUCUUUUUUGCCACAAAAAGAGAAACAUUAAUCAAAACUGGAAAAAGUUGUUCUUUACAUGAUGGAAGAUUUGAAGAUGCCUCAACAAUACUGGAAAAGAUUUGAUUGUUCUGAGACCGAUUCAGCAUUCCCUGCAGGAUGACACAGCUCCAGCAGUGAUGUCAUGCACUGGAGAUCCACUGAUACCUGAACAUCCAUGCAGCUCGUCACCUGUUCACACUAGAGAGGAGAACGGGAAGGAAUGGAUCAACAGUGGAAGAUCCACAGGGAGAUCCGAGAGCAUAAUCCAAAGGCAAUCCAGGUCUGGAAGCAGUAAUCCAAUGAAGAGGACAGGGUCAGAGACAGAGGCUGCGCUGGGGGAAAAACUGUAUCUGCUCUCAGUAUGGAUGACAAUGUCGUCUGCUAACAUCAUGGCCCAUAGAGGUUUCUGUCAGACCUCAUCUGUCAGUUCUUCCAUCAUCAUUGGUGCAGUCCCACCUCCACCUUGAACUCCUCAAUCACAACAUCUUACCACUGUCUCACAGCUCUCAAAGAUGUCCUGAACAAAUCCAUACUUUGUCUUCCAAACCACAGCACUUCUGUUUCUCUGGAUCUACAAAGACAACACACCUCCUACUGAGCUUCUCUGCUCUUUCUCAGAAGCCUUCAGGCCAACUCAGUGGCCUUGUGGUAAAGUGUCUAGAGGGUUAUGAGUUCAAACCCACUGGGAAGUCAUAUAAAAGCCUCCCUGUGUCUGCAGCUCACUGCUCCCUAUAGGGGAUGGUUCAAAUAUAGAGAAUGAAUUUAUCACACCUAUUGUAGGUGUGUGACAACUAAUGAGACUUGAAUUCUUAAAGCCGACUUUGUCUCUGUGGUUCUCUUCCUUGACAUGAAACCAGACUGUCUCUCACAAAUGUUCACUUCUGACCUCAGCCUAGCUUCUACUUCUCUUUCUCACGGCUUCAUUGUUCAAUGUAACAGGAAAUCCACUUUUCACAUUUUUGACAUGUCAGCCAACUCACUCCUUUUCCCUGUCAAAAUUUCAACAUUCAAAGUUUGGGCUCAGAAGUUCUCCCUUUACUUUUCUUUUUCCUCCUCUCCUUCUUCCACCAACAUCAGUCCGAUUUCCUCUGGUACUCUGUAGGUCAACAGCCCUAGAGGUGGUCAUCAUUGACUUGAAACACGACUGAUCCAUUAUUGAAACUCUUAGAGAUUCACAUUUCGUAAUAAAUGAAUGCACAAUAAAGUUAUCAAUAAAACAUAUUCAUUAAGCCAUUACCAACAAUGAUACUAAAAACUGACUUCAACUUUUCAUAAAAAAAAUAUUUAUGUCCUCCUAAUUUUAUUCUUUUAUGCUAAAACAUUUAACUUUACUGCUCUAUUCAGGAUCGAAAGAAAAAAAAUCACACAAUAACAUCUUCCUUGAAGAUACCACUCCCCCAAUCUGAAAAUGGAAGAAAGAAUUCUGUUCUUUAAGACAAGAUACUCCCAAACUCCAUGAUUUAUGAGUAUGUCAUCUGUUUUUUUUAAGUUCAGACUUGAUUUUUGCUUAUCCUAACCCUUUUUGUUAAUAAUUAGCAGAAAGGUUGUAAUCUCACAUUUGUAAGUAUUGUAUUGGUGGCCUUAAAUUUCCAGAUAGGUGUCAGCAUUGUGUGUGCUGGUUGCUUGUCUCUGUAUCUUGUCCUGCAAUAGACUGGCGACCUGCCUUUGCCCCAUGAUAACUGGGAUAAGCUCCAAAAACCCCCGUGACCCUACUUAGGAGAUAAAAAUAAUGGACACACGAAGGAUUUUCAUUUAUUUUUAAUGAAAAAGGAUUUUCAAACUUCCUUUAUUUGAAAAUGAUUAUGAGGCUAAUGCUUUAACAGACUCCUCGUGUUCAAAACCAUUUAAAUGGUCAAAAACUUCCCUUUUCUUAAAGAAAUAGUCACUCAUCAGCUUUUUUUUUAAUUGUUUACAUGUAUUAUACUGAAAGGUGUUAGAUGAAGCAACAAACUUUACCCGUUUCUCAUUGAUUGUCUCUAUGGUGUUCCAAGAUUCUACUGCUGUAAUAUACUUUCGGCCUCUAGGUGGCACUGCUCGCACUUUCUUUCCUUGCACUUAUGGGUGAAACAACCCCCUUGUGAGUUCCCCCUGGGCUUUUUUUUGUUAGAAAUUCCCAAAAGCCUUCAGAGUCACUUCUGAUGCUUUUAUCAGCCUUUAUCAGCUAGUAAAGAUGGAGCGAAGACAGCAGUGGCAAACGGAUAAAGUCAAAAGAUCAGCUCCACGUCUCUCAUUAGGAACUCAGGUUCUGUUUUCAUUUGGUCCAUGGACCAAGACCCCAUUUAGAUUUUAGCCCUUUGAGCGAAAAAGUUUGGGCACCCCUUACCUGUUUUUAUUAUUUAAUGCCCAAAUUGUUGUGAUUUUUAUUAUUUUUUUUAACUUUAACUGAAGAAGAUUUAAUCUUAUUAGGGAGAAUUUAAUUAAAUACAUCCAUUUUAAAGUUUUCCAUGUAUCUUUAAAGUCUCUCCUUUUCAAUUUUAUUGUAAAAUAACAAAAAACUUUUUACCAUUGUGGUCUUAUUUAAAUUAGUAUUAAAAUUAUAAUACACAGUCUGAGCCCACAGAGAGGAUCGCCUAUAGCUGUUUAUGCUGUCUGUCAAAAGUGUGCUAAAGUACAGCACCCACUUACAA
Oryzias melastigma (Indian medaka) is the source of this 2727-nucleotide long non-coding RNA. RefSeq lists it as uncharacterized. The transcript has 5 exons. The record is from RefSeq and is a predicted model, not a curated record. NCBI's taxonomy places the organism in Eukaryota, Metazoa, Chordata, Actinopteri, Beloniformes, Adrianichthyidae.